RNAcentral lists this ribosomal RNA (449 nucleotides) under uncultured bacterium. RNAcentral describes it as "partial 16S ribosomal RNA". It matches the Rfam family "Bacterial small subunit ribosomal RNA", at positions 29 to 523 of the family's 1533-position model. The record is from RNAcentral.
AACGAACGCUGGCGGCAUGCCUAACACAUGCAAGUCGAACGAAGGCUUCGGCCUUAGUGGCGCACGGGUGAGUAACGCGUGGGAAACUGCCUAUUGGUAGGGAAUAACGACGGGAAACUGUCGCUAAUACCGCAUAAGCCCUUCAGGGGAAAGAUUUAUCGCCGAUAGAUGUGCCCGCGUCCGAUUAGCUAGUUGGUGAGGUAAUGGCUCACCAAGGCGACGAUCGGUAGCUGGUCUGAGAGGAUGAUCAGCCACACUGGGACUGAGGCACGGCCCAGACUCCUACGGGAGGCAGCAGUGGGGAAUAUUGGACAAUGGGCGAAAGCCUGAUCCAGCAAUGCCGCGUGAGUGAUGAAGGCCUUAGGGUUGUAAAGCUCUUUCGGGUGGGACGAUGAUGACGGUACCACCAGAAGAAGCCCCGGCUAACUUCGUGCCAGCCGCCGCCGUAA